RNAcentral lists this transfer RNA (73 nucleotides) under Candidatus Magasanikiibacteriota bacterium. Its description in RNAcentral is "tRNA-Thr". It matches the Rfam family "tRNA". Rfam says of the family: Transfer RNA (tRNA) molecules are approximately 80 nucleotides in length. Their secondary structure includes four short double-helical elements and three loops (D, anti-codon, and T loops). Further hydrogen bonds mediate the characteristic L-shaped molecular structure. tRNAs have two regions of fundamental functional importance: the anti-codon, which is responsible for specific mRNA codon recognition, and the 3' end, to which the tRNAs corresponding amino acid is attached (by aminoacyl-tRNA synthetases). tRNAs cope with the degeneracy of the genetic code in two manners: having more than one tRNA (with a specific anti-codon) for a particular amino acid; and 'wobble' base-pairing, i.e. permitting non-standard base-pairing at the 3rd anti-codon position. Lineage: Bacteria; Candidatus Magasanikiibacteriota. The record is from RNAcentral.
GCCGAGAUAGCUCAGUUGGUAGAGCAGCUGUUUUGUAAACAGCGGGUCGCGGGUUCGAAUCCUGUUCUCGGCU